GCACUUCUAGGCGCCUGCCCUACUGUGAGGUCACGGGGUGACUGUGACGCUCGGGUGACAUCACAAGGCACGCAGCUAGAGAUGGACGUUUGCUUCCCGGCACUUGUGGCCAUAACAGUUCUGCUGUCUGCUUGCCAGAGUCCACCCAAGGACUUUCACGGGGUUCGCUUAGUGCAAAUAGAACAAACGCGGCAUAAUCCUGAGGUUGAAGACAACAGAAGAAUGAUUUCCAAGGAAAUUCAACUGGGGUUCAUAUUAUGUGAAUAUCAUGUAGUAUUUCCAAGGAGGAUAACAUAGCAUAGGAUUAAUGACAGCAUUUUGGGAGGCGGCUGGUUGUGAGAUUAUUAUAUUUACUUUCAAUUGGAUUAGAUUAAUUGAGAUUAUGGAACCAGGUGAUCUAUGCAGUUUAUUCCAGCUAAUACAUAAAAUACACCUCAUUCACAAGAUACUAGGAACCAUUCUUUAUGGUUUUUAAUUUCAUAGUUAGAGCAAAAUAGGGAAAAUUGUAGUCUAUCAUACAACUCUGUGUCUCUUUGUCUGCAUAAUGUUUACUCUUAAUUUGAGUAUUUUCCUGGAAUACAAUGUACCAAUGCUGACCUAUAUCACUUAGUCAUUGUGGAAUGCAUUCCCUAUGAAAUAACAAAAUUAUAUCGUAUNGGCUUUUAUGCUUACAACAGUUUUAAAGUCAUGAGAGUUUUCUUUGGGAUUAGAACCAAAAUCUGUCCAACAAAUUUCCAUAGGGAUUGCUGGAUGUCUUCAUAUGCGUCCUAAAUAGUUGUACUUUUUUAAAGCCAAGGAAACAAAAUAUUUUUAAGUACUUUUUCUUCAAAUGUGCUGCUGGUGAAGAAAGACAUGAGGAAAUACUGAGUAGAAACUGAACUGUGGUGAAAGAGCCUCCUGUUGAACAAAAUCAUUCAUCAAUUCCAACAGCAGCAGAAAGUAAAUGAAAACAUGACCUGAAUCAGCAGCUGAAAAAAAGAGAAGUUAAGCCUGUUAGAAAUGCUUCUGUCAGAUUUUUGGCAUAGUUUUGUCCUUAUAUGAUACAUCUAAAAUACUGUAGGUAUGUUCUCAAAAUAAUAAUAAUAAUAAUAAAACUGUUGUAGACAUUAAAGUAAUUCUUGAA
RNAcentral lists this long non-coding RNA (1123 nucleotides) under Coturnix japonica (Japanese quail). Its description in RNAcentral is "lncRNA (ENSCJPG00005009614.1)". Lineage: Eukaryota; Metazoa; Chordata; Aves; Galliformes; Phasianidae. The record is from RNAcentral.